UUUUUAGCAUAAGUAUAUCCCAUGCAAUAUUUGGGAUAUACUUAAACUAAAA
Molecule: microRNA precursor, 52 nt
Organism: Camelus ferus (Wild Bactrian camel)
Lineage: Eukaryota; Metazoa; Chordata; Mammalia; Artiodactyla; Camelidae
Rfam family: mir-1302 microRNA precursor family
Source: Rfam